RNAcentral lists this transfer RNA (379 nucleotides) under Nocardia otitidiscaviarum. Its description in RNAcentral is "tmRNA*ARAARSRASATASRLSGERSA*". The stretch from base 22 to 94 matches the Rfam family "tRNA". Lineage: Bacteria; Bacillati; Actinomycetota; Actinomycetes; Mycobacteriales; Nocardiaceae. The record is from RNAcentral.
CAGACCGGAAACGGACUGCACGGGGCUAUAGCGCAGUUGGUAGCGCGCUUCGUUCGCAUCGAAGAGGUCAGGGGUUCGAUUCCCCUUAGCUCCACUUUCAGAGGCAGUGAAAAAACCGCCCCUGACCUGGUAAGGGUCAGGGGCGGUUUGCUGUUCCGGGACUAGCUGGAAUCUUGUUCGUCGGUGCCGGUCCGCAGUCCGUCCGCAGCGUCGGUGUUAGCUGCCCGCGCCGCGCGGUCGAGAGCGUCCGCGACCGCCUCCAGAUUAUCGGGGGAGAGAUCGGCGUAGGUAUCGAGGGUCAUCGCUGCCGACUUGUGCCCGAGCAUGAUCUGUACCGCCUUGGGGUUCGCGCCCGCGCUGAUCGCCAGCGACGCAGCGG